AGGGAUUGCCCUAGUAACGGCGAGUGAAGCGGCAACAGCUCAAAUUUGAAAUCUGGCUCUUUCAGAGUCCGAGUUGUAAUUUGCAGAGGGCGCUUUGGUGUUGGCAGCGGUCCAAGUUCCUUGGAACAGGACGUCACAGAGGGUGAGAAUCCCGUACGUGGUCGCUAGCCUUCGCCGUGUAAAGCCCCUUCGACGAGUCGAGUUGUUUGGGAAUGCAGCUCUAAAUGGGAGGUAAAUUUCUUCUAAAGCUAAAUACUGGCCAGAGACCGAUAGCGCACAAGUAGAGUGAUCGAAAGAUGAAAAGCACUUUGGAAAGAGAGUCAAAUAGCACGUGAAAUUGUUGAAAGGGAAGCGCUUGCAGCCAGACUUGCCUGUAGUUGCUUAUCCGGACUUUUGUCCGGUGCACUCUUCUGCGGGCAGGCCAGCAUCAGUUUGGGCGGUUGGAUAAAGGUCUCUGUCAUGUACCUCUCUUCGGGGAGAACUUAUAGGGGAGACGACAUGCAACCAGCCUGGACUGAGGUCCGCGCAUCUGCUAGGAUGCUGGCGUAAUGGCUGUAAGCGGCCCGUCUUGAAACACGGACCAAGGAGUCUAACAUCUAUGCGAGUGUUUGGGUGUCAAGCCCAGACGCGUAAUGAAAGUGAACGGAGGUGGGAACCCUUUGGGUGCACCAUCGACCGAUCCUGAUGUCUUCGGAUGGAUUUGAGUAAGAGCAUGGCUGUUGGGACCCGAAAGAUGGUGAACUAUGCUUGAAUAGGGUGAAGCCAGAGGAAACUCUGGUGGAGGCUCGCAGCGGUUCUGACGUGCAAAUCGAUCGUCAAAUU
This 822-nucleotide ribosomal RNA is filed under the name Paraphoma radicina. RNAcentral's name for it is "partial large subunit ribosomal RNA". It matches the Rfam family "Eukaryotic large subunit ribosomal RNA", at positions 70 to 911 of the family's 3401-position model. The record is from RNAcentral. Lineage: Eukaryota; Fungi; Ascomycota; Dothideomycetes; Pleosporales; Phaeosphaeriaceae.